Molecule: long non-coding RNA, 2409 nt
Organism: Monodelphis domestica (gray short-tailed opossum)
Lineage: Eukaryota; Metazoa; Chordata; Mammalia; Didelphimorphia; Didelphidae
Source: RefSeq, a predicted model, not a curated record
UCCCAUGUUCUUGAAUAGUGUGGAAAAACAGUUUGAUUCUGGAGAUGGUAACAAAGAUGAGGUCCUAUCCUCUGUUGGAAUUCCUGUGUUUUGGUUAGUUCUCUGGCAGCUUGCCUUAGGAUUUUGCCUAGUAUCCUUCUCUAUCUACUUCUUGCAUAGUACAAACAUGGAGUCAGCUCCUCUCCUACAAGUCCCAACCAGAUGUUGUUUGUUGAUUGAUCUGGUAGCUUUUGAGAUGUUGGUCUGACCUUUUCUCCAGAUGUUGCUCCUGGUGUCCUGCCUGAGCACUGAGUUAGCUGAGUGCUGGUCUGGCCCCCUCUCCUAUUAUGGUUCUUCUGUGGACUCUCUGAACUCUGUUGGUCAUGAGUUGCCUGGAUGCUGGGCUGAUUCUGUCUAGUGCUUUGGUUUAGGCAUUGACUGCCUGGGUGAUGUGUUGACUACUUGGUGUGCUUCAUUGAGAAUGGUCUGGCUCUUUAUCAUCCCUGAUUUCUGUUGUGAUUUGAGUGGACUCCCUGAGAUCUGUAUUGGGUUUUGGGCUAGUCCUGUCUCUUACUGAGAUUCUGGGCUAUUUGUGCUCUAUGGCUUCCACCUACACUGAACUGGUUUCCAUUCAGAGCCUCCCAAGGUUCCUGGGAGCCUUCUCAUAAAUUCCUGGCUGGAGGGAUGAGUCCAGGGCCAUUUUCCUUUAUCCUUAUGAUAUGUAUUUUGAUUGUAUUGGAGUAUUUGGUGGUAGUGGUGGAUCUUGCCUUCUCUAGGUCCUAAAAGUCUGACAUUUUAGCCAGAAGUCGCAAUAUUUCAAAUGAUAGCUUGUCCAAAUAUUUACAUAAUAGCUUUCACUUGUUUGUGUAGUAUAUUGUGGAUUUCCAAGAAUGUGUUUGGUGGAAGAGAGAAGGAGAGCAGGAUUUAAUAGACCAAUUGUAGGAAAUAAACUUGUAAGGCAGAGAAAUAUGAUCUCGGCACUUUUUAACAAAACACACUUAGGGUCAUAUGAAACUAUAAAUAUCUCUGGGAGCAUGUGGAUUUCAUUAGACUCGAGACUCACUCAGUGCACCUUUUGGAAGGCAACUGAGAGAGCAGACACAUUUCAAUAUGUGCCCUUCUCCUCAAAGACUACCAAGAUGUCAAAAGUUUCCAAGGGCGCGGGUCUGUCUCUGUCUGUCUGAUGGUGCAAGUGGUGCCACACCUCACUCUCCCUCUUGCCAGAUUCAUGGCAACUGUUCUUUAGAGGAAAAAGAAAUCAUUUGUUAAUGCUUCUAGCAGAGAGAGGUGGAGUAGAUGGCCAUGUCUUUCCAGUGCUUAUUCUAUGUUCCCCAUUUGUGGGCUUAAUGACUUCUUGGAGUUCGAAGCUCUUUAUUAGAGAAGAAUUGAAGCUUAGUGUCAGAUACAGAAUUAUCUUUAGAUCAAUGGAGACUUGAGUUAAAGUCCCUCUGACAGAAUGUGUGACACUGGACAUGUCACCUAAACUUUUCGAGCUCUUAUAAAUGUUCUAAGAUUUUAAAUUACAAAAAAAAAAUAUCCUGACCUAUAUUGAUAUGAGUAGAAGAAGGCAACCAAUUAAAACAUAGGUCAUUCUUUAACACUUCCCAUUGUGAAGAUUGGAUUUGGCUGUUUCCUUAUUGUAACAAUGGAGGUACUUAGCUCUUCCUUUAUUGUGAAGAUUAAAUUGUAAUCCCCUGUCUAUUUUUAGAUUUUAAUCCCCAAAGUUUUAACUCAGUAUUUAAAGUAGACCUACCAAUUUUAACUAUAAAAGGUGUUAACCAAAAAAGAUGUUAACUAACCAUAAAAGGUUAACUGUUAACUGUGUUAACUAACUAAAAAAGAUGUGACACUCACUUCAUACAUUGAAUGGGCGGUCCUGAAGAGGAGCAUCUGCUGUGAUUGGUAGACAUAAGAAUUUAGGGGAGGUGACACAAGAGAAAAAAGGUCUUUAAAUAGAGGAAACAGAGGCACACAUGGAUGAAUGAAGAAUUCAGUCACCCAGAGUUGGACUGAAUAGAAGUCACUCUGGCUUAGAGUCACUUGGGCUUGGGGUGAAGAAGAGACACUCAGAGGAAAGACUGGAUCAUUAGAUACAAUCACUCAAAGUUGGACUGGAAGACAGACACUUGAGGAGAGGCUGGAAGACACUCAGACUUGGAGUGAAGACAUUUGGCUGUGGAACUGGACCCCUGGAGGAGCUUGUGCAGGAGACCUCAGACUGCUUUCCUUUUAGAUGGUCACCAUGAUGAAAAAAAAUGACAUCCAGAGAUAUAAAGGGACUUGCCUACAGUUGAGGAAAUUGGAACCUAAGGAUAUUUUACAAAACCACAUAAAACAAGCAUUUCUAUAUACAAAGAAAAAGAAGAUUGUAUGUAAAUGAAAUCAUAAAUAUCUUAAAUGUUUGGCAUACUUUUCCUUAUAAUUACAUAA